This 386-nucleotide ribosomal RNA is filed under the name Pseudo-nitzschia sp. Its description in RNAcentral is "partial small subunit ribosomal RNA". It matches the Rfam family "Eukaryotic small subunit ribosomal RNA", at positions 587 to 975 of the family's 1831-position model. Lineage: Eukaryota; Bacillariophyta; Bacillariophyceae; Bacillariales; Bacillariaceae. The record is from RNAcentral.
AGCUCCAAUAGCGUAUAUUAAAGUUGUUGCAGUUAAAAAGCUCGUAGUUGGAUUUGUGGUGUGUCCUGUCGGCCGGGUGGCUUAGCCUCCUGUGCUGUACGGGUCUGCCAUGUUUGGGUGGAUCCUGUGUGGCAUUAGGUUGUCGCGCAGGGGAUGCCCAUCGUUUACUGUGAAAAAAUUAGAGUGUUCAAAGCAGGCUUAUGCCGUUGAAUAUAUUAGCAUGGAAUAAUGAUAUAGGACCUUGGUACUAUUUUGUUGGUUUGCGCACUAAGGUAAUGAUUAAGAGGGACAGUUGGGGGUAUUUGUAUUCCAUUGUCAGAGGUGAAAUUCUUGGAUUUUUGGAAGACAAACUACUGCGAAAGCAUUUACCAAGGAUGUUUUCAUUA